Molecule: ribosomal RNA, 402 nt
Filed under: fungal sp. EXP0349F
Lineage: Eukaryota; Fungi
Description: eukaryotic LSU rRNA
Rfam family: 5.8S ribosomal RNA (bases 101-245)
Source: RNAcentral
GGAUCAUUACAGAAGUGAAUUCUUCUUUCUCUGUUUAUCGACCGGUUUUGUUGAUAUCCUGCUAUCCAUACCGUCUGACUACACAAACAUAAUUAUAUAAAACUUUCAACAACGGAUCUCUUGGUUCUGGCAUCGAUGAAGAACACAGCAAAAUGUGAUAAGUAAUGUGAAUUGCAGAAUUUAGUGAAUCAUCGAAUUUUUGAACGCAUAUUGCACCUUUUUAAGGUAUACUUAGAUGAGUGUUGUUUAAUCCUCACCCCUGGGUGGUAUUGGCGCCGGUCGCGUGCGGCCGUGCCGAAAGACAACGAGAUGAAUCGAUACAAUGAGCUUCGGCACGUAUCGAGACGUCUGGAACCGCCGUGGGAGGCUCCGGCCCCCGCGACACUGUUAUGGUUCAACCUC